GACGAACGCUGGCGGCGUGCUUAACACAUGCAAGUCGAACGAUGAAGCUAGAGCUUGCUCUGGUGAAUUAGUGGCGAACGGGUGAGUAACACGUGAGUAACCUGCCCCGAACUCUGGGAUAACUGCUGGAAACGGUAGCUAAUACUGGAUACGACCUACGAAGGCAUCUUCUGUAGGUGGAAAGAAUUUCGGUUCGGGAUGGACUCGCGGCCUAUAAGCUUGUUGGUGAGGUAAUGGCUCACCAAGGCGACGACGGGUAGCCGGCCUGAGAGGGUGACCGGCCACACGGGGACUGGGACACGGCCCAGACUCCUACGGGAGGCAGCAGUGGAGAAUAUUGCACAAUGGGCGCAAGCCUGAUGCAGCAACGCCGCGUGAGUGAUGACGGCCUUCGGGUUGUAAACCUCUUUUAGUAGGGAAGAAGCGAAAGUGACGGUACCUGCAGAAAAAGCACCGGCUAACUACGUGCCAGCCGCCGCAGUAA
This 484-nucleotide ribosomal RNA is filed under the name uncultured bacterium. RNAcentral's name for it is "partial 16S ribosomal RNA". It matches the Rfam family "Bacterial small subunit ribosomal RNA", at positions 28 to 523 of the family's 1533-position model. The record is from RNAcentral.